GACGUAGGGCGCGAGCGUUGUCCGGAUUUAUUGGGCGUAAAGAGCUCGUAGGCGGUUCGUCGCGUCGAAUGUGAAAACCCGGGGCUCAACUCCGGGCCUGCAUUCGAUACGGGCGGACUAGAGUUCGGUAGGGGAGACUGGAAUUCCUGGUGUAGCAGUGAAAUGCGCAGAUAUCAGGAGGAACACCGGUGGCGAAGGCGGGUCUCUGGGCCGAUACUGACGCUGAGGAGCGAAAGCGUGGGGAGCGAACAGG
Molecule: ribosomal RNA, 253 nt
Filed under: uncultured bacterium
Lineage: Bacteria
Description: partial 16S ribosomal RNA
Rfam family: Bacterial small subunit ribosomal RNA
Source: RNAcentral